UACGAAGGGGGCUAGCGUUGUUCGGAAUUACUGGGCGUAAAGCGUGCGCAGGCGGCUUCUCAAGUCAGGGGUGAAAGCCCAGAGCUCAACUCUGGAAUUGCCUUUGAGACUGAGAGGCUUGAGUACGAGAGAGGUGAGUGGAACUCCUAGUGUAGAGGUGGAAUUCGUAGAUAUUAGGAAGAACACCAGUGGCGAAGGCGGCUCACUGGUCCGGUACUGACGCUGAGGUGCGAAAGCGUGGGGAGCAAACAGG
This 253-nucleotide ribosomal RNA is filed under the name uncultured bacterium. Its description in RNAcentral is "partial 16S ribosomal RNA". It matches the Rfam family "Bacterial small subunit ribosomal RNA", at positions 524 to 776 of the family's 1533-position model. The record is from RNAcentral.